Molecule: ribosomal RNA, 464 nt
Filed under: uncultured bacterium
Lineage: Bacteria
Description: partial 16S ribosomal RNA
Rfam family: Bacterial small subunit ribosomal RNA
Source: RNAcentral
CUACGGGAGGCAGCAGUGGGGAAUAUUGGACAAUGGGCGAAAGCCUGAUCCAGCCAUGCCGCGUGUGUGAAGAAGGCCUUCGGGUUGUAAAGCACUUUCAGCGAGGAGGAAGGGUUGUGUGUUAAUAGUACACAGCCUUGACGUUACUCGCAGAAGAAGCACCGGCUAACUCUGUGCCAGCAGCCGCGGUAAUACAGAGGGUGCAAGCGUUAAUCGGAAUUACUGGGCGUAAAGCGCACGUAGGCGGUUUUUUAAGUCAGAUGUGAAAGCCCCGGGCUCAACCUGGGAAUUGCAUUUGAAACUGGAAAACUAGAGUGUGUGAGAGGGGGGUAGAAUUCCAAGUGUAGCGGUGAAAUGCGUAGAGAUUUGGAGGAAUACCAGUGGCGAAGGCGGCCCCCUGGCACAACACUGACGCUCAGGUGCGAAAGCGUGGGGAGCAAACAGGAUUAGAUACCCGUGUAGUC